AGGCCGGUGGUGAAAUGGUAUCACGGCAGUCUCCAAAACUGCAAUUCUAGGUUCAAUUCCUAGUCGGUUUGCCA
Molecule: transfer RNA, 74 nt
Filed under: Anaeroselena agilis
Lineage: Bacteria; Bacillati; Bacillota; Negativicutes; Acetonemataceae
Description: tRNA-Trp
Rfam family: tRNA
About the family: Transfer RNA (tRNA) molecules are approximately 80 nucleotides in length. Their secondary structure includes four short double-helical elements and three loops (D, anti-codon, and T loops).
Source: RNAcentral